RNAcentral lists this ribosomal RNA (465 nucleotides) under Vreelandella stevensii. RNAcentral describes it as "partial 16S ribosomal RNA". It matches the Rfam family "Bacterial small subunit ribosomal RNA", at positions 338 to 795 of the family's 1533-position model. Lineage: Bacteria; Pseudomonadati; Pseudomonadota; Gammaproteobacteria; Oceanospirillales; Halomonadaceae. The record is from RNAcentral.
CCUACGGGGGGAAGCAGUGGGGAAUAUUGGACAAUGGGGGGAACCCUGAUCCAGCCAUGCCGCGUGUGUGAAGAAGGCCCUCGGGUUGUAAAGCACUUUCAGUGAGGAAGAACGCCUGGUGGUUAAUACCCAUCAGGAAAGACAUCACUCACAGAAGAAGCACCGGCUAACUCCGUGCCAGCAGCCGCGGUAAUACGGAGGGUGCGAGCGUUAAUCGGAAUUACUGGGCGUAAAGCGCGCGUAGGUGGCUUGAUAAGCCGGUUGUGAAAGCCCCGGGCUCAACCUGGGAACGGCAUCCGGAACUGUCAAGCUAGAGUGCAGGAGAGGAAGGUAGAAUUCCCGGUGUAGCGGUGAAAUGCGUAGAGAUCGGGAGGAAUACCAGUGGCGAAGGCGGCCUUCUGGACUGACACUGACACUGAGGUGCGAAAGCGUGGGUAGCAAACAGGAUUAGAUACCCCGGUAGUC